UCCGGUUGACGGUGACAAAACGUCCACUCUCCCUCGCAGAGCCAAAAACAGAGGGGGUGGGUCCCCACGUGAGUGUGUGUUUGUGUGUGACGCGCCCCGUUUAUGAUCUGCUUCUUUUUGGGUGGCUGGCUAACCAGAAAGGAAAGAAUUCGGGGGGAAAAACCACUCCCCACUGAGAGUGUGUUCCGUGUCGUUUUAUUGUCGAAGAUUUGGCCCCAAACUUCCAAUCGACCGCUGCCUGGAGUAUGAUUGAAGAACGUGAAAGUUGGGACGGACCGGUGGAUCCAAGUUCAGAAGUUCAGAACCGAGUAGUGAAGAAGUUCUGGGGCUUGAUUUGAUUACCACGUGUCCUUUUGGCGAGAAUCGUACUACGACGACCCCCCCAAGUUGUAGUAAAUAGCUGCUCUAGUGUCUCGAUAUUGUCUGAAGAAAGAACGUAGCUGGAAGAAUGCCGAGAAAGAAGCUUUAGUUUUGCUCCAUUGUGCGUUGGUGUUUGGCUCGAGGAAAGCGAGUGGGCGGUCCCUGGUAAGGGGGGAUGAUUCUCGUCUGGUGACCAAGAUUUCCGCUCUGGAGCUUUUGUUUUGGCUACGUUCUUAGACAGUGUUUUCCACGGAAAGUCUGCUGUAAAUAUCAGGAGAAAAUUACCAUAUCAGCAUAAUUAGUGCGAAUUAGCGCGAGUCGAAGGCGGAAUAUUUUAGUGAGGCUUUUCGCGGGUGUUUUUUUUGACUCUCAAAAGAGAGAAACACACAUUCAAUUAGUUUACAAGUUGAGAAACUCCGUUACACUUUAAAAGGAUUAAAUUGUGCGUUUGAUAGUUUUUAAAGGAAAUAUAAAAAAAAUAAAAAGAUUCAAAUCAAAACAUCCACACCGAAACUUUUUUCCGAAGAAAGCUGGAAAAGCCGGGAAAAACGCAACCAUUGGAAUUCUCAAACCGAGGUAAGAUUCUUCAAAAAAUAAACACUCCAGACACGCUUGUUCGGGAAAAAAUAACAGAAAACUCAUCGACCCGUAAAUUGAGCGAACCUCGUCGACCGUUUCUUGGCCAUUGAAGCGUUACGCUCGAAACCGGACCCUGAAGGAGGAACACUUCGAUAAAGAAAAAGGGUUAAAAAGGCGUGAACGACAUCUCAAAACCCAACUGCAGAAAGGAUAAACGAACUGAGGCCGUCUAAAUUAAAUCCACACAUUUCGGGACUACUCUGGAAGCCGGAAGAUAUCGGCAAAUAUCGCACCCCAUUCCGGAUGAGAGAUCGAUUUCGGGAUUUAACGAUUCCAAUCAUAAGACCCUCGAAUGGGGUUGAAGAAGCCCGAAAAAACAGAAGUGAAAUGUGUGUGUGUGUGUUUGGAAGCCCGUAAAAUCCCUACAAUAACAUCCCCAUUCAGAAGGGAAGAUAUUCGCAAUCAAAUUUCACGAGGACCCAUACUCUUUCACGAAUAAUGUGUCCGGGUCCCAAAUGUGUAACACAAGUGGAUCAAGUUUUAGAAAAUUUUCGGAUCAAAAACCCAUUCAUAUCCCUUGCGGGGCAUAAAUAAACAACAACGAAUGGUUGUGGAAACAGGAGGACAUUGAUCCGGACAACCAGCAACAAUAUCUGUGUGGUCACAAGCUGUAAAUUUUGCUUCAUGUUUUUGUGAGAAUCACCCUCAGAAAAAGUGGUGGAAAAAAGUGUGGUGGGAGUUGGGUUGAAAAGUGUAGAAAAAAAAAAGAGUGAAAACAACUCUCUUUCACUGUUUCGAGUUGUUGUUUUGGGUACGUACGUGGUCUUUUUUUUCUCACUUUCCUUUCGGUGAAAAAAAUGCAUGUGAAAAUAUAAGCUCUAUUGAUUCGAUUUGCGGUGAGGAAAAGGCAACCGGGAAAAGAUACCGUUGAAGGAAAAAACAACCUUUCAAUUUUUUUUGGAUCUGUGGUUGUUGUUGCAGCGAAGAAGUUUCCGAAUUGUGCUCUGCAGUGUGUCAACCAGUUUGAAGUCAGUUGGGAAGUCUGUCAGUCAAUCCAAGGAUUUCGGCCAUCUCAGAGACCAAUGUAAAAAGUCAAGACGGUUUUGUAGUGGCAUCAGACAAAAACCGACCCGAAGGAAGCUUCCACACCCACACGGAUAAAUUAGCUCGUGGCAACAGGAAGUUCCUGGUCCCGGAAGACAGGCAACAGUGAAAAAAAAAACGUUAAACAACAACAAAACAAAAUGGAAACCCUGUACACUGGCCACAUUCAUGGUUUUCCUCCGCCGGCCAACAUUACCUAUGGCACCUUCGGGACGUCCUGGGGCUCCCAGGGGGGUCUGAUAGCACUUGGCGUCGUCCUCGGGAGUUCCGUCAGUUUGGUCGGGCUGGCGUUUGCCUUCAUCAC
Molecule: long non-coding RNA, 2347 nt
Organism: Uranotaenia lowii
Lineage: Eukaryota; Metazoa; Arthropoda; Insecta; Diptera; Culicidae
Exons: 3
Source: RefSeq, a predicted model, not a curated record